GUGCUCGCUUUGGCAGCACAUAUACUAAAAUUAGAACCCUACAGAGAAGAUUAGCAUGGCCCCAGCACAAGGAUGAUACACAAAUUUGUGAAGCGUUCCAUAAAAAA
Rhinolophus ferrumequinum (greater horseshoe bat) is the source of this 107-nucleotide small nuclear RNA. The record is from Ensembl. Lineage: Eukaryota; Metazoa; Chordata; Mammalia; Chiroptera; Rhinolophidae.